RNAcentral lists this ribosomal RNA (513 nucleotides) under uncultured bacterium. RNAcentral's name for it is "partial 16S ribosomal RNA". The record is from RNAcentral.
GGAGUUAGCCGGUGCUUCUUCUGCGAGUAACGUCACAGAUGUAAGGUAUUAACUUACACCCUUUCCUCCUCGCUGAAAGUGCUUUACAACCCGAAGGCCUUCUUCACACACGCGGCAUGGCUGCAUCAGGGUUUCCCCCAUUGUGCAAUAUUCCCCACUGCUGCCUCCCGUAGGAGUCUGGGCCGUGUCUCAGUCCCAGUGUGGCUGAUCAUCCUCUCAGACCAGCUAGGGAUCGUCGCCUAGGUGAGCCUUUACCUCACCUACUAGCUAAUCCCACCUGGGCUUAUCCAUCAGCGCAAGGCCCGAAGGUCCCCUGCUUUCCCCCGUAGGGCGUAUGCGGUAUUAGCAGUCGUUUCCAACUGUUAUCCCCCACAAAUGGGCAAAUUCCCAGGCAUUACUCACCCGUCCGCCGCUCGUCAUCUUCAAAGCAAGCUUUUAGAAAUGUUACCGCUCGACUUGCAUGUGUUAGGCCUGCCGCCAGCGUUCAAUCUGAGCCAUAACUCAAACUCUAGA